UAGGGAAUCUUCCGCAAUGGACGAAAGUCUGACGGAGCAACGCCGCGUGAGUGAAGAAGGAUUUCGGUUCGUAAAACUCUGUUGUUAGGGAAGAAAAAAUGUAUAGUAACUAUAUACAAAAGAGACGGUACCUAACCAGAAAGCCACGGCUAACUACGUGCCAGCAGCCGCGGUAAUACGUAGGUGGCAAGCGUUGUCCGGAAUUAUUGGGCGUAAAGCGCGCGCAGGUGGUUUAGAAAGUCUGAUGUGAAAGCCCACGGCUCAACCGUGGAGGGUCAUUGGAAACUAAUAAACUUGAGUGCAGGAGAGAAAAGUGGAAUUCCUAGUGUAGCGGUGAAAUGCGUAGAUAUUGGGAGGAACACCAGUAGCGAAGGCGGCUUUCUGGACUGCAACUGACACUGAGGCACGAAAGCGUGGGUAGCAAACAGG
RNAcentral lists this ribosomal RNA (429 nucleotides) under Verrucomicrobiota bacterium. Its description in RNAcentral is "Verrucomicrobia bacterium partial 16S ribosomal RNA". It matches the Rfam family "Bacterial small subunit ribosomal RNA", at positions 355 to 776 of the family's 1533-position model. Lineage: Bacteria; Pseudomonadati; Verrucomicrobiota. The record is from RNAcentral.